Chinchilla lanigera (long-tailed chinchilla) is the source of this 702-nucleotide long non-coding RNA. RefSeq lists it as uncharacterized. The transcript is spliced from 3 exons. Lineage: Eukaryota; Metazoa; Chordata; Mammalia; Rodentia; Chinchillidae. The record is from RefSeq and is a predicted model, not a curated record.
CAGGCAGUAAGAACGGUUACAACACUCUGCAGUAAUUCUCAAGCGAGUCCCAGGCAUUUGAAGGAAUAGGUGGAACUUCUGAUUAAUACACGUUUAAAUGCUGUAUGAUGAAAAUAAAGGAAACAGAAAAACUAUUCAAGUAAUGCAAAUGUCAACAAUACUUAAAGCCCUUAGAAACAACUUUCCUGUACACUCAGGGCAAGCAGAGAACAGCCCAGGUGAAAGUUAAGACAACUAAGAAGACCAGAGGACACUCCGAGCAUUACGAGUAUAUAAUCAUGUUACCUUCCACUUACAGAUUUCAGGAUGGUCUAUAUAACAUCAUUAAUUACACUGAGGAAUACACCUAGUCACUUUCUUUUUACAGAUUUAGGGGUAUAAUUACUUAAUCUCUCUGUAUCUGUUUCCUUCAGCUGCAAAAUAGGCAUAUUAUUAAAUAUCUCAUUCCAUAAUGUCAGAAUGAAGGAUUUAUUAUAUUUAGAGUGAUUAAAAUAGUAUCUCACAUGUAUUUAUUAUUGUAGUAACACUCAUUUUCACAAGUCUAGCUAAACUCAAGUAAUUUAUUAAUUAAAUUUGACAAAGCAAACAAUGUUUGUUUAAGUUAUGUAGAUUUAUUUUAUUUCAUUUGUGUACAAUAUUGGAGAAGCUUUGUGCCUUACAAACUUUAAUUCAUUUGUAAUCCUACCUCCUUUUGUUCCCGGU